UCUAUCUUCAGUUAGAUAGAACUUUGCCUCCCCCUCUGUGUCUCACUCACACAUGACAGUUUUCAGAGGAUUAGUUACCAUAGCAACAGAACACUGAGCAGAGAUGUAGAGAACUACAGAGAUUUCGGAAUGCUCAGUUCCUACAGAGGAGGGCAGAGCUUCCGGUUACAACUACAGACACGCCAGCUUGGUGGAAAACUUACUACAGACAAGGAGAUGUGUUUCUCCAGCUGGCGUCGCAGUUUGACUUCAGCUCCAUACUUUCCUGUUGUGCCAUUGUCUGCCAGGAUGAAGUGGGAGUGGAGACUGUUGAGAACCGUCAGCUUGCUCAUGGGGUUGGACAUAGUUUGGUACGGACGCACCACCUUGCAAAGAGAGAAGGCAGAAAGGGUCAGAAAGUGAGAAGGAGGAGAAGUGAAAAGUGAUAAAAGACAGCGGGAGAGACAGCAACCCACAGGUAGUGACAAGACCAGUAACUAGCAGGGAAGGAGUUGCAACGAGGUUUGGCAGUAAGACAUGAGGAGCAAUUUUGGAGCAGCAUUGUCAUUCCCUUUGCGCCUCUCCACAUCCCAUCAUCUCCCUCACCUCUUACAUGAAUCCUGGAAGGGUAGGACAGAGUUACCAUGGAUACUAGAACCGGGGCGGACCCAUCCCCCCCACCUCCACCCCAUCCUGUAUUCCUGUGACCCCCCCCUCUCCUGUCCCCCUUGAGGCAUAGCUGGGAACAGGAAUAGUGAUCUCUGGAUCUCUGAAGGAUGCUGGUGUGUAUUGGCGCGUUCAUACAACAGCUUGUUCAUACAACAGCACACGGAAGCACACACGCCAUUUAAGAGGAACACAAAUACCGACUCCCCAGGUGCAAAAGUGGUCAUACCACUUGAACUUUUUCACCUAUGUUCAUAUUAAAACCACAAAUAAGAAGACUUAAUGUGGUAGACCAACACAAAUCCAAGCAAAAAUGUAAAAAAUAUUGCUUGCAUUUCGAUAACACACCCUCAACCCAACCCACCUCUUAAGAACCUCAGCUACAACAAGUAUCCCUGCAGCCACGAUGCCUUACUGUGUGGGUGGGAAAUUAUGAUUCCCUCUUUACAUUAGCAUACAGGUAGGUUGUAUUUAGCACACGAGUACAGUGAGCAAUACAUAAAACAAGGCCACACUAUCCAGGCGUAUUUGCAAAAAGGAAAUUGGAAAAACAUGUAC
Long non-coding RNA from Gambusia affinis (western mosquitofish), 1203 nucleotides. RefSeq lists it as uncharacterized. The record is from RefSeq and is a predicted model, not a curated record. The transcript is spliced from 5 exons. Lineage: Eukaryota; Metazoa; Chordata; Actinopteri; Cyprinodontiformes; Poeciliidae.